UUGAGUGAUGAUCCAUAUUAUAGGAAUUGCCGUCGGAUCGAUAUCUGAAGAGAAACUUAAUUCUGAUC
Molecule: small nucleolar RNA, 68 nt
Organism: Thrips palmi
Lineage: Eukaryota; Metazoa; Arthropoda; Insecta; Thysanoptera; Thripidae
Product: small nucleolar RNA SNORD49
Exons: 1
Source: RefSeq, a predicted model, not a curated record